UACAGAGGGUGCGAGCGUUAAUCGGAAUUACUGGGCGUAAAGCGCGCGUAGGCGGCUUUGUAAGUCGGGUGUGAAAUCCCCAGGCUUAACCUGGGAACUGCAUUCGAGACUGCAUUGCUAGAGUAUGGGAGAGGGAAGUGGAAUUUCCGGUGUAGCGGUGAAAUGCGUAGAUAUCGGAAGGAACAUCAGUGGCGAAAGCGACUUCCUGGACCAAUACUGACGCUCAUGUGCGAAAGCGUGGGGAGCAAACAGG
Molecule: ribosomal RNA, 253 nt
Filed under: uncultured bacterium
Lineage: Bacteria
Description: partial 16S ribosomal RNA
Rfam family: Bacterial small subunit ribosomal RNA
Source: RNAcentral